Molecule: ribosomal RNA, 200 nt
Filed under: uncultured eukaryote
Lineage: Eukaryota
Description: partial 18S ribosomal RNA
Rfam family: Eukaryotic small subunit ribosomal RNA
Source: RNAcentral
GCUCCAAUAGCGUAUAUUAAAGUUGUUGCGGUUAAAAAGCUCGUAGUUGGAUUUCUGUCGAGGACGGUCGGUCCACACUUUGUGUGAGUAUCUGAUUCGGCCUUGGCAUCCUCUUGAAAAACGUUUCUGCGCUUGAUUGCGUGGAGCGGAGUUCAAGACUUUUUACUUUGAGGAAAUUAGAGUGUUCACGGCAGGCAAAC